ACCGGGUGGAUGAGUGGCGAACGGGUGAGUAACACGUGAGUAACCUGCCCCUGACUUCGGGAUAAGCCCGGGAAACUGGGUCUAAUACCGGAUACGACUGCCGGACGCAUGUCUGGUGGUGGAAAGUUUUUUCGGUUGGGGAUGGGCUCGCGGCCUAUCAGUUUGUUGGUGAGGUAAUGGCUCACCAAGACGACGACGGGUAGCCGGCCUGAGAGGGCGACCGGCCACACUGGGACUGAGACACGGCCCAGACUCCUACGGGAGGCAGCAGUGGGGAAUAUUGCACAAUGGGGGAAACCCUGAUGCAGCGACGCAGCGUGCGGGAUGACGGCCUUCGGGUUGUAAACCGCUUUCAGCAGGGAAGAAGCGCAAGUGACGGUACCUGCAGAAGAAGUACCGGCUAACUACGUGCCAGCAGCCGCGGUAAUACGUAGGGUACGAGCGUUGUCCGGAAUUAUUGGGCGUAAAGAGCUCGUAGGUGGUUGGUCACGUCUGCUGUGGAAACGCAACGCUUAACGUUGCGCGUGCAGUGGGUACGGGCUGACUAGAGUGCAGUAGGGGAGUCUGGAAUUCCUGGUGUAGCGGUGAAAUGCGCAGAUAUCAGGAGGAACACCGGUGGCGAAGGCGGGACUCUGGGCUGUAACUGACACUGAGGAGCGAAAGCAUGGGGAGCGAACAGGAUUAGAUACCCUGGUAGUCCAU
Molecule: ribosomal RNA, 702 nt
Filed under: Brevibacterium sp.
Lineage: Bacteria; Bacillati; Actinomycetota; Actinomycetes; Micrococcales; Brevibacteriaceae
Description: bacterial SSU rRNA
Rfam family: Bacterial small subunit ribosomal RNA
Source: RNAcentral